CAGCAGCCGCGGUAAUGCGAAGGGUGCAAGCGUUAAUCGGAAUUACUGGGCGUAAAGCGUGCGUAGGCGGUGAGUUAAGUCUGCUGUGAAAUCCCCGGGCUCAACCUGGGAAUGGCAGUGGAUACUGGGUCACUAGAGUGUGGUAGAGGAUAGUGGAAUUUCCGGUGUAGCAGUGAAAUGCGUAGAGAUCGGAAGGAACAUCUGUGGCGAAGGCGACUAUCUGGGCCAACACUGACACUGAGGCACGAAAGCGUGGGGAGCAAACAGGAUUAGAUACCCGAGUAGUCCCUGUCUCUUAUAC
Molecule: ribosomal RNA, 301 nt
Filed under: uncultured bacterium
Lineage: Bacteria
Description: partial 16S ribosomal RNA
Rfam family: Bacterial small subunit ribosomal RNA
Source: RNAcentral